Molecule: ribosomal RNA, 465 nt
Filed under: Vreelandella stevensii
Lineage: Bacteria; Pseudomonadati; Pseudomonadota; Gammaproteobacteria; Oceanospirillales; Halomonadaceae
Description: partial 16S ribosomal RNA
Rfam family: Bacterial small subunit ribosomal RNA
Source: RNAcentral
CCUACGGGGGGCAGCAGUGGGGAAUAUUGGACAAUGGGGGCAACCCUGAUCCAGCCAUGCCGCGUGUGUGAAGAAGGCCCUCGGGUUGUAAAGCACUUUCAGUGAGGAAGAACGCCUGGUGGUUAAUACCCAUCAGGAAAGACAUCACUCACAGAAGAAGCACCGGCUAACUCCGUGCCAGCAGCCGCGGUAAUACGGAGGGUGCGAGCGUUAAUCGGAAUUACUGGGCGUAAAGCGCGCGUAGGUGGCUUGAUAAGCCGGUUGUGAAAGCCCCGGGCUCAACCUGGGAACGGCAUCCGGAACUGUCAAGCUAAAGUGCAGGAGAGGAAGGUAGAAUUCCCGGUGUAGCGGUGAAAUGCGUAGAGCUCGGGAGGAAUACCAGUGGCGAAGGCGGCCUUCUGGACUGACACUGACACUGAGGUGCGAAAGCGUGGGUAGCAAACAGGAUUAGAUACCCUUGUAGUC